GUGGAAGCAAAAGAAAGUGCAAUGCAGAGCAAAAGCUUAAAAUUGCUUUUAGGACAAUUAAAAAAAAAAUCAUAUUGUAAUUUCACGCUUUAUCACCUAAGAGAUAAAAAUUUGUUUUUCAUCAAACCAAUGACAUGAUUUUGGCCAUUACUUCAUCACUUACCUCCACUAACGCAGUUAAUCAUCCAUAAUUAAAUCAAGAGGAUGCCCCAUCAGCAUAUUGUUACAGGAGGUGGAACAUAAUAACGACACAAGACCAUAAAGUAACCAUUUGAUGAAAAAUAAGUUUAUCCCUUAAAUGACAAAAUGCAAAACCACGUGAUAUUUUUUAAAAAUUAACCCAUAUCAUAACAGUAAACUUUUAUAGAUACCCUGUACGCUAGAAUAACUGAUGCUAGUUAUAUAUGACUAGAUCAUAUGAAAACAGAAUAGCUAAAGCAGUUCAUGUGCAUUUUAGGCACUAACCAAUCGAAGCAAUAACUCUCUUUUCAAAACCU
This 497-nucleotide unclassified non-coding RNA is filed under the name Hevea brasiliensis (rubber tree). Lineage: Eukaryota; Viridiplantae; Streptophyta; Magnoliopsida; Malpighiales; Euphorbiaceae. The record is from RNAcentral.